RNAcentral lists this ribosomal RNA (253 nucleotides) under uncultured bacterium. RNAcentral describes it as "partial 16S ribosomal RNA". It matches the Rfam family "Bacterial small subunit ribosomal RNA", at positions 524 to 776 of the family's 1533-position model. The record is from RNAcentral.
UACGUAGGGUGCAAGCGUUGUCCGGAAUUAUUGGGCGUAAAGAGCUUGUAGGCGGUUUGUCGCGUCUGCUGUGAAAUUUCGGGGCUCAACCCCGAACUUGCAGUGGGUACGGGCAGACUAGAGUGUGGUAGGGGAGACUGGAAUUCCUGGUGUAGCGGUGAAAUGCGCAGAUAUCAGGAGGAACACCCGUAGCGAAGGCGGCACUCUGGGCCGGAACUGACGCUGAGGAGCGAAAGCGUGGGGAGCGAACAGG